RNAcentral lists this small RNA (464 nucleotides) under Arabidopsis thaliana (thale cress). Its description in RNAcentral is "ATSL153090". The record is from RNAcentral. Lineage: Eukaryota; Viridiplantae; Streptophyta; Magnoliopsida; Brassicales; Brassicaceae.
UUAAAAAUCUUGUUGACAAAUAUCGGCAAGAAUUAUACCAAUAGACAAAUGAACACAAACUUUUCGGUUCGCCCUUUUCUCUCUCUUAGAAUUUUACUCUCCCUUUUCUCUAAAACUCCAGCCGCCGCCUGUAUUUAGGGUUACCGGUUCCGGUGGCUUUCUCAGCACCGGAACCGGGGUCUUUUGUUUUGCUCUUAUUCUACCUUUGUUUUAUUUUCUCUUUAGACACAUCUGAGAGAUUUUCUUCCAACGGUUUUGAAUCUGAAUUUUCAGAUCUAGAUAUAUAAAGUCUAAAACUUUUCCUUUCUAGGUUUUUGCUGCUUGUCUUUUGUCUUUUUCAAGAGCAGAGUCAGAUAUGGCCAAUCUAUCCAAGGCAGAGACGUUUCUAUCCGAAUUUUCGCCUCAGACUUCUGAAAUUUCACCUGAAGAUCCCGAUCUCGUUCUCUCCUUUAUAAGGCUCUCAC